AAAACGCUUAUCUAAAAUUUUCUUAUUUCCCUCAAUAAAACUUCCCCUAAAUUCUUUUCCGCCCAAACAUAUUAGGAUUCCCCCUCCCCAAAAUCAACUGCCCAUUCCAAAAUUAUGAUUCAUCAAAUAAACUUCCCUCUACAAACUAAGGCAACUCCAUCUCUUGUUUUUGAACGAAUUUUGAUUCAUUUAUUGCCUAAAUCUAGGGUUGCGUGGGUACAAUAAGGAAAAUGAAAGUGAUUCUAUUCAACGUUGUCGGCGAAUGAGCAGUCUCUGGUGAACAGGUAAUUGAAUAUACGUGUUUAAGUUUUUGUAAUCAAAUUGUGCUAAAUGUUCAUUUUGUCUUUUGUAUCACCAAAUGAAUACCAUUCCUACGAAUUCGAUCGAAGGUCAGAAAACUAAAACAAGUGGUCUCCAGCAAGAAGGUACUCGAGGUCUUUUGUUUAUUAUUGAUUAUAUAUUUUUAAUUGACCCGUACUGACGUUUCAUAUUGCUUUUGAUAAGUUUAAAGUGUUUAUACAUGAAGAUUACCUGGAAAUUUGAUUUGGGUUUGAAUUUAUUUGGCUUAAGUUGUUUGAUUGAUCCAUAUUCUAGGGUUUAAUAACUCGGUGUUUUGUAGUUGUGGUAUAAUUUAUUAUAUUUUUGCAACUAGGCAUGGCUAAAUGGAGUUGAUAAUUAAAAUUAAUGCUGGGCUGGGAAUGGAGUUUGGGAUGUACAAUAGUUUCUUAAAUAUAUGGAUUCUUGUACACAUUGUAUCAUUAAAAAACAUCUUUGUGUCUUCUUCACUUCUCACACUACCUCUUCCCUCACUAAUUUUUUCUUGCUUGUUUUUGUACACAAACAAUCGUUAAAAAAUCUAGAUACAAUCAGGCUGGAUUGUUGUCUCAAAAUUUCUGCAUUUAUCUUGAGUAUUUGAAGUCUAAGAGGUUGCGACUUAUGUGGUUCAGUUUUUCUAAUUCGUAAUUAUUGGGUCAAUACAAUGCCCAUAGUUCUACCAUGUUUGCUGGGUUUUACUUGUGGGUUUAUGUUAUAUCAUCGGAAAACUACAAGAGAUUUGGGAAAAUUAAUGGACCAGAUGUUGGAAACUAUUAUGAUUUGGGGGUUAAUGUUAAUUCAUUUGCCCCUAACAUCUACGACAAUGAUAUUUAAGAUGAUUUCUUAAUGUUAUUGCAGGUGUGUGCUCUAUCCCUUUACAUAAGUUCUUAUUUAAUAUUUUCUUUUGAUUGUUACAAGUCUUGCUUUGUUUGUGAGCUGUAGAAGGUUAAAAGUCUCAAACCAGUAGAUCCGGCCUCUUGUUGCAAAGUCAAUCACCUUGUUCUCUCACUAGCAAUACUCAGUUUCCUGUUACCUCAAACUUACAAGCAGUUAUCUUCUUGUUAGAGACUCAAUACUCGAUUUCGUUCUUUCUCAAGGCAUCAACGCAAGAACAUGGGGCUGAACUACAUCAUCUUAAUUCAGAUCCAAUCCAAUCGAGACCAAUUGUACAAGAGUUGUCUACCUUGUACAAACUAAGCUUCAUUUAAUGAAAUUUAUCGUGUUUCAUAUGCAUAUUGGAACAUCCAAAGGGCUUCAAAUUAUCUCGAUUUCUUCCUCGAUGUGUUGUUACAUGUGAAAAGUUGUCCAGGAGGAAAAAGUAUGUAAUUUACUAACUAUUGGGGAGUUCUCGUUGUAUGCUAUUCCAAUGCUGGUAAUAAGUAGACUAUUGCAGGAUUGUGAAAGAGGUUCAUGACCGUUUUGAAAUUUUGAAUUUUUAUUCAAGCAUUUGUUAGUUUUGUAUUUUAUAUGUUUGAUAUGUAAACUUAAUAAGAUGAUUACUAGACAUUUGUAUGUAAAUAUUUAGAAUAUUUAUGAAAUAUGAUCUAGCUUUGAAUCGAA
Helianthus annuus (common sunflower) is the source of this 1875-nucleotide long non-coding RNA. RefSeq lists it as uncharacterized. The record is from RefSeq and is a predicted model, not a curated record. The transcript is spliced from 3 exons. NCBI's taxonomy places the organism in Eukaryota, Viridiplantae, Streptophyta, Magnoliopsida, Asterales, Asteraceae.